CUAGCCUACAAUGCCAAAAGUAGGCAUCCAUGACAUUGACAAUCCUAGGACACUUAUUUGACAUGUACAUUACAUUAGACCUAAAUACAAUAUAGAUUCCAUUAUUUAACCGUCCAUGCAAAAUUAUAACACCAUUCAAAAUAAUAUCACAACUUUUUCUUUAUCGAUAUUUCAUAAUUUGAAUUGGCCAAAAGGCCUAUACAAAUAACAUUUAAAAGAAAACUAAGACAGUAAUUAUAUUCAUUUAGAACAAUAGAAUGAGAUUCGAAUACAAACUUGAUGAUUCCUGUUGGGUAAAAAAUACCCCCCAGCCGAAGUUCGUGUCAGGAAUGACCCUCCGGAGAUUCUACCGACGUCCGACUUUCGACGACAUCUUUCCAAACCUCUCCGACAGCCGAGCCUCCACAACAUUCUCAAGUUAUGCCGACGGAUGAACCCCUAUCAGUGUCAACCGGAUUCUCCACAAUGGACGGACUCCAUCCAAGUUUCUACGGUGGUUGCCCACCUUCUAGACUUCGUCCGGACUCCUACGGGAGCCGGACCUCUUCCCCGAACUCCAACUGUAGGCAGCCUUCGUUCGGACUCCUACGGGAGCCGGACCUCUUCCCCAAACUCCAACUGCAGGUAGCCUUCGUCCGGGCUCCUACGGGAGCCGGACCUCUUCCCUGAACUUCGACUGCAGGUAGAUUUUGUCCGGACUCCUACGGAAGCCGGACUCCUUCCCCGAACAAGUAGACUUCAUCCGAGCUCCUACAGGAGCCGGACUUCCGCCCUGAACUCCUGUUACAGGUAGACCUCACCCCGAACUCCUACAAGGGCCGGACUCCAAGCUUCUACUGCAAGCGACCCACUCCGAGCUUCUGCUACAAACGAUUUUCUUCAAAUUUCUACCACGAGCGGUCCGUGUCGGAUUCCCACUGUAAGCCUUCACCCGAGCUUCCAUUGUGAACGAAUUCCUUUCGAAUUUUUAUUGUAGACAGGCCUCGACCGAGAUUCCUCGAUAAAUGAUCUCCAUCUGGGCUUCUACGGAGAUCGGACUCCGACCGA
This 1047-nucleotide long non-coding RNA is filed under the name Elaeis guineensis (African oil palm). Its description in RNAcentral is "long non-coding RNA (EGUI_LNC082920)". Lineage: Eukaryota; Viridiplantae; Streptophyta; Magnoliopsida; Arecales; Arecaceae. The record is from RNAcentral.